AUUGAACGCUGGCGGCAGGCCUAACACAUGCAAGUCGAACGGUAACAGGAAGCAGCUUGCUGCUUCGCUGACGAGUGGCGGACGGGUGAGUAAUGUCUGGGAAACUGCCUGAUGGAGGGGGAUAACUACCGGAAACGGCAGCUAAUACCCCAUACCGUCGCAAGACCAAAGCGGGGGACCUUCGGGCCUCUUGCUAUCGGAUGUGCCCAGAUGGGAUUAGCUAGUAGGUGGGGUACCGGCUCACCUAGGCGACGAUACCUGGCGUGUCUGAGAGGAUGACCAGCCACACUGGAACUGAGACACGGUCCAGACUCCUACGGGAGGAAGCAGUGGGGAAUAUUGCACAAUGGGCGCAAGCCUGAUGCAGCCAUGCCGCGUGUAUGAAGAAGGCCUUCGGGUUGUAAAGUACUUUCAGCGGGGAGGAAGGCGAUAAGGUUAAUAACCUUGUCGAUUGACGUUACCCGCAGAAGAAGCACCGGCUAACUCCGUGCCAGCCGCCGCAGUAA
This 506-nucleotide ribosomal RNA is filed under the name uncultured bacterium. RNAcentral describes it as "partial 16S ribosomal RNA". It matches the Rfam family "Bacterial small subunit ribosomal RNA", at positions 30 to 523 of the family's 1533-position model. The record is from RNAcentral.